CCUACGGGGGGCAGCAGUGGGGAAUAUUGGACAAUGGGGGGAACCCUGAUCCAGCGACGCCGCGUGAGUGAUGAAGUCUUUCGGUAUGUAAAGCUCUAUCAGCAGGGAAGAAAAUGACGGUACCUGACUAAGAAUCCCCGGCUAAAUACGUGCCAGCUGCGGCGGUUAUAUGUAGGGGGCAAGCGUUAUCCGGAUUUACUGGGUGUAAAGGGAGCGUAGACGGUGCAGCAUGUCUGGUGUGAAAGUUCGGGGCUCAACCCCGGGACUGCAUUGGAAACUGUUGAGCUGGAGUACAGGAGAGGUAAGCGGAAUACGUAGUGUAGCGGUGAAAUGCAUAGAUAUUAGGAGGAACACCAGUGGCGAAGGCAGCUUACUGGACUGAAACUGACGUUGAGGCUCGAAAGCGUGGGGAGCAAACAGGAUUAGAUACCCCAGUAGUC
This 440-nucleotide ribosomal RNA is filed under the name uncultured bacterium. Its description in RNAcentral is "partial 16S ribosomal RNA". It matches the Rfam family "Bacterial small subunit ribosomal RNA", at positions 338 to 795 of the family's 1533-position model. The record is from RNAcentral.